Acinonyx jubatus (cheetah) is the source of this 7718-nucleotide long non-coding RNA. RefSeq lists it as uncharacterized. The record is from RefSeq and is a predicted model, not a curated record. Lineage: Eukaryota; Metazoa; Chordata; Mammalia; Carnivora; Felidae. The transcript is spliced from 2 exons.
GAAAGUUCAACUGGAGUGUUUUUUAAAAUCUUAUUAAACUUUUCAACUGAAUCUAGAAAGACAUUUUAUCUUUAUGAUCCAGUAAUUGUCUUGUCUGGAAGCACGGCAUGUCUGUCCACUUCCCCCCUUACUCUCUUGAGACCUCUUCUGGCUUCUCCAGGUGGAAGGCACAGGACUGUGUUCGAUACCAUGUGUUCUAGACUGACAGCUGAGACUCCGUAACUUCUCUCUGCCCUUGCUUGGAUUUCCUUGUUCUUGAGCACGGCGAAUUUGGAGCUUUCUGCUCUUGGCAUCUAUUUAGAAAUUACCUUACUGACUAAAUUGCUAUGUCAUGACUGCUUGGUUCAUGUUUUUUUCCCAACUUCUACACUUUUCUUUUCCUUUUCCGGGUGAAGCUUUGGUUCAUUGUCUCUGAGAUGGAACAAUACACCUUUCCCAAAAUGAUGUGGCUAGUAAGGUUUUUACACAGGCUUCAUUUGAACCUUCAAGUACGUACAGUGAAAACCGGAUAUUUUUUGGCUAGAUUCCAGCAGGGGUGUGGAUUUAGUACUCGAUCCGCAGCCUUUUAUGAGCAGCUUUCAGGACGGUAGGUGAACUGAAGGGAAGAGAGCAAUUCUAUUUUCUUAUUUUUAAAAAAAAUCUUGUCCUAUCAUCUGUUAGUCAGCUUGGCCUUUGAGUAAUGGCAUAUGCAUAUCUUUAUUCUUGUUCUUCAUUGGUUAAAGUGUCCAGGUACAUUGAUGUGCUCCUAACUAGUACUUUCCUUUUUGCAAAGUAAACUGCUGUUCACACUGCUGUCACAUACCAGAUAAUUCAUAAAGUACCACAGUAUUCAGAGUUACUAGCAUCACUCCUACACAGCUUAUUCCUGCAUCAAAAGAGGAAAGUCCUUUGUGUCCUCUGACAUAUCUUACCGCCCGCAGAGGCGUUCUAGAAGCCCAGGUGUACCAGAAGGCUGGCCUCGCUUUUUCUUGGCUCAGCACACUUGUCCUCAUCUUGAGUCUGGGUUCUGGGUGACUAACUCCCUUCAACUUUCUCUUCAUAUCAGCCCCUUUGUUCCUCUUACCAUAACCGAAAUGUCCCAAACUCAGGUGUUUGUACAGUCAAAUGUAGUUUUUAGCAAAUUUCUUUAUUUUACUAGUAUAUCCCACAGCACAGUUGAACUAGCUAUACUAAGCAUAUAGUUUUUGAGCAAAGGAAGACAGAGAUGCUUUUUCAUCUAGGAGGCAUUAGUGUGUAAUUAGCUGUUGCAUAUGUUACAGAGUUUAAUUAAUAGCCAAAAAUAAUAUUUUAUCACCGUAACUUUUUUUCUUUGUGGUAGCUCUAAUGAAAACUUCUCUAAUAUGUCUCUACCUUUCUUUGGAGCACAGUGCAUGUAAUUUAUGCUCUUUUCAGUAUCAUUGCAAGGUUAUAAUUAAAAGCAUAAAUUCCUGUUUCAUGACCCUGAGAGUCUACUGAAUUGUUCAAUCCCUUUUUUAUCUUAGAUUUACCGACUGGCCUCAGCUAUGCAUUUUGCGUUCUUGUAACUACAUUUAUGUACCUUAUUUAUGCCCAUUGUUGAUUGUCACCGUGCUGUCAGUAUCCCUGUCUCCUUCAUUCUCCUUCAUUCUCCCUCCUCAGCCCACACUGUCUGUCUUCAAGCUUGACCAAAGCAGGAAGUGGACUUCCUGUUGAUAAGAUCUGGAAGGUUCUGGAUGAUGUAGCUGCUCCCACCUCCUUGGCUUCACGGACCCCCUGUAUCACACCACGCCUGUCCCACCUCAGGGCCUUUUGCACCUGGUGCUCUCUGUCUGGAUCCUCUAACCUUGGUUUCAUGUGGCACAUCCUGUUUAGCAAUUCGGUUCCCAAACACCAGCAUUUGUCUCUCCUAGUAAACUGGCAAGAACCCUGGUCUCUAGAGUGCUCUAGGAGGGUAGAACAGCUUGUUGGUUUUAAUUCCCCACCGUUCUGUCCCAUGGAAUGAGUUCGGAGUGUUCCUUCUGCUUUUCUCUGGCAUCAGUUUGGGUUUUUUUUUUUUUUUGGUUUUAUUUUUGUUUAAUUUUUAUUAUGAAAUAAUUAUAUAUUCAUAGAAAGUUGUAAGAAUUGUAUCUUUCCUCAGAGAGUCACCACGUAUCCUUUAGCCAGUGGCCAUAUUUUACAUAACUGCCGUGCACUUUUCAAAACCAGGAGAUGGGCACCGGUACCGCGUGUGUGUCUAGUUCUGUGCCGUGUUAUUACGUGUGUACGUUGUGUAUCCAGCACUGCCGUCAGGACACAGAACCGCCCCGCGACCUCAGAGAUCUCCCGAGUGGUUGCACCCACUUCUCUCCCUUACAGCAUCCUUACCAGCAACCACUAACCUGUUUUCCAUUUCCAUAAGUUUGUCAUUUCAAGAAUGACGAUAUAAGUGGAGUCCUACAGCAUGUGAUCUUUUGAGAUUGGCUUUCUUCACUCAGUAGUGAGGUAGCGCCCUGGAGGUCCAUCCGAGCUGUGUGCUAUCAACAAGUAGCUCCUUUUCACUGCCGGUGUCGUGUUCCGCAGUAUGGCGGCAGCAAACUUUGUCCAACUCUUUGCCCGUUGAGGGACAUUGGAGUUGCUUCGCGAUUUGGACUCUUCCAAAUAAAGCUGCUGUGAACGUUUGUGUGUAGGCUUUGGUGUGGAUGUGAGUUUUUCUUUUAUGUGAGAUAAAUGUCCAGGAGUGCAAUUGCUGGGUCAAAUGGUAAGUAUAUGUUUAAAUUUUUAAAGAAACUGUCAGUUUUGCAGUGUGGCUCUAACAUUUCAUAUUCUCGCCAGCAGUGAAUGAAAGCUGCAGGUUCUCCGCGUCACCGUUUUUAUUUUUGCUGUUUUAAUAAGUGUGUACUAGGAGCUCAUCAUGGUCUUAAUUUGCAUUUCCUUCAUGGCGAGUGAUGUUGAGCAACUUUUCAUGGGCUCCUCUGCCAUCCGUAUAUCCUUUCCAGUGACAUGCCUCUCAAGUCCUUUGCCUGUUUCCUAAUUGGGUUUGUUUUUUUUUUCACUGUGGACUCUUGAGAGUUCUUUCUGUAUUCUAGAUAUGUGUCCUUAUGUCAGUCCUGAAUAUUGGUUUACAGGUAUUUUCUCCCCAUCUGUAGCAUGCCUUUAUCUUUACAGGGUUUUUCACAGAAGUUUCUAUUUUGUUCAUCUUGUUUAUUGAUUUUUUUUUCAUUUAUGCGUUAUGCUUUCACUGUCCUGUCUGAGGACUCCGCACCAAGCUCUAGGUCCCAAAGGGGUUGUCUUGUGUUUCUUCCAGAAAUUGUAUAGCUUUGCCUUUCACAUAGAAAUCUUGAAUUUAUUAUGAGUUAAUUUUCAUUUAAGGUGUAUAAGGCUUAGGUCCAGGAUAAUUUUUUUCCCUGUGAGUGUCCAUUCGCUUUCACACCUUUGUUGAAAAGGCUUUUCUUCCUCCGUUGAAUUGCGUCGUCACUGUGGUCAAAAAUCCAUUGGAUGUUUUUCCAUGGGUGUUUCUAGGUUCUGUAUUCUGUUCCAUUGAUCUUCAUGUCUCUUUAUCUUCCAAUAUCAUACUGUUUUAUGAAUCUUAGAAAAAUCUCCCCUGCAUCUACAAAAACAUGCCUGGGAUUUUGAUAGGUAUCAUAUUAAAUUUAUUUACUUGUUUGGAAAAAAAUGAUACCUUUAUUAUUUUUCAAUCUAUGAAAUGGAUAUGGCUUUCCAUUUAUUCAGAGCUUCGGUCUCUUUCUCCAGUGAUUUUGUACUUUUUCACGUAGAAGUCCUAGUCAUACUUUCCAGAUACUCACAUAAGUAUAAUUUUCCCAUUUGUUGAGCAAUCGCGAAUGAUAUUAUGUUUUCAAUUUUUGUCUUCACAUGUUCAUUGCCAUUACAUGGAAAUACAAUUGGUUUUUGUGUGCUUAUCUUGUACCCUGAAACCUUCCUUUCUGAUUUGUAUGCCUUAUUAUGAUGCCGAAAUCACGCCCUUUCAGGGUCCUGGAAAAUUCCUCUGUUGAAUCCUGAGCGCUUUCGAUGUGACCUAGGCUUUGAUCGUUUCCAGCCUAUGUGAUACAUGAUGUUCAAGGCUCAUCUUGUACAUUCCCUGGCAGAGACCACAUUCUGGCAUCAGAAAUUGGAAACAUCACUUUUAACUACUGUGAGAGACUGCCUGACUUCACAGUUCUCUGCUGGAAUAUGGCCACUGAUUAAACCUCUUGGUACUCCCUUAUCUAUCAGAGAAGUUCCCAGGAGGGGUUCAAUAAUUAAUUACCAGAUGAAGGAAUGAAUGAAUGAGUGAAUGACUGAAUGAAAGAAAUACAUCUUGAGCUAGUCUCUGAUGAUGGCAAAACAAAAAAAUAUAAUAUGGCCCAUCCAAGAAAGAAGUGGUCAGAGCAAUUCAGAUCACUACCAGUCUUUCAAAGAAUUAAACUCCUGCGAACCAUAAAACUUGUCUUUCUGUCCUCCCUCACAGUGACCUCCCACAGGCCUGGCCUCUUUGCUCUCCUCCUUCCUUUCUGGAUCCUUUCCAGACUUUGUGUUUCCCUCCUUGGUGUGAAUUCCCAAGACCCUCCUCUCUCUCUAGACUCUGCUCCCCCCGCCCCCCACCACCAAACUGCUUGAUAAGGCCCCACAGGAAAGGGAGAAGAGAUUGUGAAUGUUCAUGUUUGGGACAUCACAAAUGCACUCAUCACAAAUAUGAGUGCACGAAUGGUGACACUCAGAGGAAGCGCUGCGUCCCCCUACAGUGUGUGAGUGGGACAUGAGCUGUUGAAUAUUGACAGGCCCUAGCCCCGUGCUCAGCACGUGCACAUACUUCAGACUUACCUUUUAAUACACACGAUGGCUCUGUGAGCUGGGUAGAGGUCUCUCAUUUCUGAGAUGAAGAAACGGAGCCCAGAGAACUAGUUCGUAAGGAGUUUUCUGUGGCUGCUAUAACAAAUUUCCACAACGUUGCUGACUGAAAACAACACAGAUCUGUUUUCUUACCAUUCUCGAGGUCAGAAGUCCACAGUGUGUCCGGUGGGGUUAAAAUCGACGUGUGUGCAGGGCUCCGUUUCUCUGGAGGGUGUGGGGAAGAAUCUGUUUCUCACCUCACCAGCUCUAGAGGCUCCCGGGCUCUGGGACUCGUGGCCCCUCGGCCACCCUCGGAGCUGGCGCUCUCUCUGGCUCUGACUCUCCUGACUGCCUGCCCUUUUGGGGACCCUUGUGAUUGUUUGGACCUGCCCACAUGGUCCAGCAUCAUCUCCCCAUCUUGGGAUCCUUAAUCACAUCUGCAGAGUCCCUGUGCUGUGUGACAUAACCUAUCGACAGGCUCUGGGCGUGAGGACGAGGCCAUCUUGGGGGCCAUUCUGUAGCCUUGGAGCAGCUGCAUGCAUUGCACACGGAGGCAAAGAGUUGGGUCGUGCCUUUUCCCACCGCUCCUUGGUGGGGGGUCUUGGAGGUCUUUACCUCUGGAUAACUCUGGCACAGUUGGCUGUGGUGUCUCACUGUGUUCACACCUAGCGCCUGGUUCAUUUUCAUCAUUUUGGGCCAGGGCGCUAGUUACACACGGCUUGUGACAGACGGAAAAUUGAGGAAUGUGGCCAAGGACCGCAAGCAGACACACCAGCGCCUGAUGGACAACGAACGGUGCGCGUCUCUAAGACAAGUGGAGGCAAUUCUGUUUUAUGUUACUGGGCUGUGUCUGUCAUGGAGAUGAAAUGCAUGGUCAUUAACCGCGGCAAGAUGUGGAGACAGUUGGGAAAAGUGACUCUUACCCUUUUUUACUAUUUUUAUCCAUUUCCCUCAUUGUGUUUUCCUGGGGGAUAUCUAGGCACUAUGAGUGAUACUACCUAAAAUUUGCACGCUGUCUUUAUCUCACGGGUGCAUUGUCAUGGUUAAUAAUGUUUCAACAUACUUAGACUUUCCCAAAAUGGUCUUCUUUAAGUUAUUUACAGCUGUAUUUUGGGCCUAUCACCAUUUACCCUUGCAAAUCUGAGUUGCCUGCCUAUUUUCUCAUUUUAGACCCAUCCUAAUGUCCAAAUCAAAUGGUUUUAUAAAGCUUUUCCUGGGCAAGUCCGAAGUGGGUAGUUCUUGAGAAAAAAGAUUGUCUGUCUCCAAAGGAAAUGAUCACUAAUCUUCAUAGCCGACCCCACGCCUCUGAUUUCUGCCUCUUGUUAGUAGGAACAACGGUUGGACCUAGUAGGGAAGAGAAUUCUUACCAGAAUUCUCAGGGAGGCCCGGCUUUGGUGUUCUGCCCUGACACUCAGAGGGACCCUCACCCCCAGCUUCUCUACCUCAGGGGCUCGGGGCUCCUCUGUCAAGAUCUGGCAUAUUGUGGAGCCCUUGUCCUCCUGGUCGAUGUCCACCCAUGGAACUUUGUCAAACCCAAGUGCAACACCGGCUCCGUGGCCACCGCCGCAUGCUGGGCACUGUCUUAGCUGCUGAGGAGCCAGACAUGAGUCCUAGAGAAGUGGGGGAGAGAGAGAGACAGAGAUAGCACAGGGAGGGAGGGGCUUACCCCCGGGGCCUCAACCCUGCUGAAUUCCAGGACGAGAGUUUGUGUCAAAUACUGUUCCUGGCCUCUUGCCUGACUGGGUCGAGGGAGACUCAGGAGGAGUGAUGGUGGCUGACUUGCUCGGGGAGAGCAUCCCCAGGAGCCGUGUCCCCCGGGGGUCCGCCAGCGGCCCCGCCUACCUUUCCCUCUUCAUGGCAGCUGCUCCUUGUGAUUGAUCCCGCCAGGAGGACCCACCCCGCCACGGGCGCCGCCCCCGUGGAGCCAGGGUCAGGUGCUCUCCGCCCAGUGCCCCUUCUGCAGAAGGAAGAAAGUCUCCCUGUGCUCUAUUCUGAAGAAAAGGAGAUGCGGAGAGAAACUGACUUGUCUGAUGCUUAAAUCGCCAGCCUCAGCCUCCCGACCCAACCUACUAGGUGGGAGUGGCUGGGUCCACCUCACUUGCUCACUGCUCUGGGAGGGACUGAUUGUCACAGAGGUCACAUAAGGGCACACACCCGCUCUGCGUACUCGCUCAGUCACUUGACCAUGGCAGUGCCCGUUGGCUUUGGGGCUGACUGAGGUCUUGUUUUUAUUAUGCCAUAUAUAAGAUAAAGUGAACUUAACAUCACGGGCAUCUUCGUGGUUCAUUCGGUUGAGCGUCCGACUUCGGCUCAGUCAUGAUCUCACCGUUCACGGGUUUGAGCCCCGCGUCGGGCUCUGUGCUGACAGCUCGGAGCCUGGAGCCUGCUUCAGAUUCUGUGUCUUCCCCGUCUCUGCCCCUCCCCUGCUCACACUCUGUCUCUCUCUCUCUCUCUCUCUCUCAAAAAUAAACAUUUGAAAAAAAUAAAGUGAACUCAUUUCAGACUUGUCCACUGAUGUGGAGGAUCUCAGGAGAGCCCCCUCUGGGGAGACUUCCACUGGUGCCUGCCUGGGUUUUAGCCAUCUUUCUGGAAUCCUUGUUGAUGGUUUCUGGUUUGAGUAGAUUUUAUGUCUGGGUAAGUUCUCAGGUUUGGGGACCUCAAGACUACAUGUUGUUGUUGUUGUUGUUUUUCUUGUUUUAAUUUUUUGGUUGUUUGUUUUAGUGGGGGGAGGAGAGAAGUGUGCCUGGAAAUGUUUAUGCCUAAACUUCAGCACUCUUUAAACCUUCCUCAUCCAACUCCUCUCUUUUGCAUAUGACCACACCAGAAAUUGUGCCCGGUCACUUCCUUGUGCCUAGAGCUGGAACAAUUAGUUAAAAUUACAGAAGGCCCUGGAUCAAGUAUAAACUCACUAAAAUGCUUUUUUAAAGUAGCUAGAAGUAAGAAUAAAAAUAAAA